This 242-nucleotide ribosomal RNA is filed under the name uncultured bacterium. RNAcentral describes it as "partial 16S ribosomal RNA". It matches the Rfam family "Bacterial small subunit ribosomal RNA", at positions 92 to 334 of the family's 1533-position model. The record is from RNAcentral.
AGAGCGGCGAACGGGUGAGUAACGCGUACGUAACUUGCCUCACAGCGGGGGAUAGCCCCGGGAAACUGGGAUUAAUACGCCAUAGUAUUGUAAAGCCGCAUGGUUUAACAAUUAAAGUUCAGGCGCUGUGAGAUGGGCGUGCGUGCUAUUAGCUAGUUGGUGAGGUAACGGCUCACCAAGGCUACGAUAGCUAGGGGGCGUGAGAGCGUGGCCCCCCACACGGGUACUGAGACACGGACCCG